GAAACUUAAAGGAAUUGGCGGGGGAGCACUGCAACGGGUGGAGCGUGCGGUUUAAUUGGAUUCAACGCCGGAAAUCUCACCGGAGGCGACGGUUAUAUGAAGGCCAGGCUGAUGACCUUGCCUGAUUUUCCGAGAAGUGGUGCAUGGCCGUCGUCAGUUCGUACCGUGAGGCGUUCUGUUAAGUCAGACAACGAACGAGACCCUCGUCUUUAGUUGCUACUAGUAAGUCCGCUUACUAAGCACACUAAAGAAACCGCUGGCGAUAAGUCAGAGGAAGGUGAGGGCAACGGUAGGUCAGUAUGCCCCGAAUCCUCCGGGCUACACGCGCGCUACAAAGGCUAGGACAAUGGGCUUCAACACCGAAAGGUGACGGUAAUCCCGAAACCUAGUCGUAGUUCAGAUUGAGGAUUGAAGCUCAUCCUCAUGAAGCUGGAAUCCGUAGUAAUCGCGGAUCAACAUCCCGCGGUGAAUAUGCCCCUGCUCCUUGCACACACCGCCCGUCAAACCAUGCGAGUUGGGUCUAAGUGAGGAUGUAGUUUUUGUUACAUUCAAACUUAGGCUUAGUAAGCGGGGUUAAGUCGUAACAA
RNAcentral lists this ribosomal RNA (587 nucleotides) under uncultured euryarchaeote. RNAcentral describes it as "bacterial SSU rRNA". It matches the Rfam family "Archaeal small subunit ribosomal RNA", at positions 851 to 1441 of the family's 1478-position model. The record is from RNAcentral. Lineage: Archaea; Methanobacteriati; Methanobacteriota.